Molecule: ribosomal RNA, 253 nt
Filed under: uncultured bacterium
Lineage: Bacteria
Description: partial 16S ribosomal RNA
Rfam family: Bacterial small subunit ribosomal RNA
Source: RNAcentral
UACGAAGGGGGCUAGCGUUGCUCGGAAUCACUGGGCGUAAAGCGCACGUAGGCGGCUUGUUAAGUCAGGGGUGAAAUCCUGGAGCUCAACUCCAGAACUGCCUUUGAUACUGGCGAGCUUGAGUUCGGGAGAGGUGAGUGGAACUGCGAGUGUAGAGGUGAAAUUCGUAGAUAUUCGCAAGAACACCAGUGGCGAAGGCGGCUCACUGGCCCGAUACUGACGCUGAGGUGCGAAAGCAUGGGGAGCAAACAGG